This 76-nucleotide transfer RNA is filed under the name bacterium. RNAcentral describes it as "tRNA-Thr". It matches the Rfam family "tRNA". Rfam says of the family: Transfer RNA (tRNA) molecules are approximately 80 nucleotides in length. Their secondary structure includes four short double-helical elements and three loops (D, anti-codon, and T loops). Further hydrogen bonds mediate the characteristic L-shaped molecular structure. tRNAs have two regions of fundamental functional importance: the anti-codon, which is responsible for specific mRNA codon recognition, and the 3' end, to which the tRNAs corresponding amino acid is attached (by aminoacyl-tRNA synthetases). tRNAs cope with the degeneracy of the genetic code in two manners: having more than one tRNA (with a specific anti-codon) for a particular amino acid; and 'wobble' base-pairing, i.e. permitting non-standard base-pairing at the 3rd anti-codon position. The record is from RNAcentral.
GCCGGGGUAGCUCAGUUGGUAGAGCAAGCGAUUUGUAAUCGCUCGGUCGGAGGUUCGAGCCCUCUCCCCGGCUCCA